This 375-nucleotide long non-coding RNA is filed under the name Chinchilla lanigera (long-tailed chinchilla). RNAcentral describes it as "lncRNA (ENSCLAG00000026792.1)". The record is from RNAcentral. Lineage: Eukaryota; Metazoa; Chordata; Mammalia; Rodentia; Chinchillidae.
ACCUGCUGCAAGGGCUUCCAGGUGACUUCCAGAGAGGAAAGAUGACAGUCAGGAUAAUAAUGAGAGCCACAGGGACUGAGCUCUUACUUUGUGGAUGGGACAAGUAUAACAAAAGCACAGAUAUUAAGCGUGCAGGGGCUCUGUGAGCAGGAAAGACUAGGAAGCUGGAGUGCGUGGAGGGGCUACAUAAAGAAGGGAAGGAGCUGAUGGCCAGCUUGGCUGUCUGUGCCUGGUGCUGAACAGCGAAGGAGCCUGCUAUGGUCCCUCUGACACUCGCCUCCUGGUGGAAAGUCCCCAUGGAAUCAGCGCCAAGUCCCAUCACAUAUAUGUCCACCAAAGUACCAUUUACCAUGUUGCAGUGUAGCAGAAGACCAU